UAGUUCUAUCCUCAUCUUGAUUUAAAUGUUCUCGUUGCCAUAAAUGAUAAACAGCAUGCAGGUAUGUUAGUUCUAUCCUCAUCUUGAUUUAAAUGUUCUCGUUGCCAUAAAUGAUAAACAGCAUGCAGGUAUGUUAGUUCUAUCCUCAUCUUGAUUUAAAUGUUCUCGUUACCAUAAAUGAUAAACAGCAUGCAGGUAUGUUAGUUCUAUCCUCAUCUUGAUUUAAAUGUUCUCGUUGCCAUAAAUGAUAAACAGCAUGCAGGUAUGUUAGUUCUAUCCUCAUCUUGAUUUAAAUGUUCUCGUUGCCAUAAAUGAUAAACAGCAUGCAGGUAUGUUAGUUCUAUCCUCAUCUUGAUUUAAAUGUUCUCGUUGCCAUAAAUGAUAAACAGCAUGCAGGUAUGUUAGUUCUAUCCUCAUCUUGAUUUAAAUGUUCUCGUUGCCAUAAAUGAUAAACAGCAUGCAGGUAUGUUAGUUCUAUCCUCAUCUUGAUAUAAAUGUUCUCGUUGCCAUAAAUGAUAAACAGCAUGCAGGUAUGUUAGUUCUAUCCUCAUCUUGAUUUAAAUGUUCUCGUUGCCAUAAAUGAUAAACAGCAUGCAGGUAUGUUAGUUCUAUCCUCAUCUUGAUUUAAAUGUUCUCGUUGCCAUAAAUGAUAAACAGCAUGCAGGUAUGUUAGUUCUAUCCUCAUCUUGAUUUAAAUGUUCUCGUUGCCAUAAAUGAUAAACAGCAUGCAGGUAUGUUAGUUCUAUCCUCAUCUUGAUUUAAAUGUUCUCGUUGCCAUAAAUGAUAAACAGCAUGCAGGUAUGUUAGUUCUAUCCUCAUCUUGAUUUAAAUGUUCUCGUUGCCAUAAAUGAUAAACAGCAUGCAGGUAUGUUAGUUCUAUCCUCAUCUUGAUUUAAAUGUUCUCGUUGCCAUAAAUGAUAAACAGCAUGCAGGUAUGUUAGUUCUAUCCUCAUCUUGAUUUAAAUGUUCUCGUUGCCAUAAAUGAUAAACAGCAUGCAGGUAUGUUAGUUCUAUCCUCAUCUUGAUUUAAAUGUUCUCGUUGCCAUAAAUGAUAAACAGCAUGCAGGUAUGUUAGUUCUAUCCUCAUCUUGAUUUAAAUGUUCUCGUUGCCAUAAAUGAUAAACAGCAUGCAGGUAUGUUAGUUCUAUCCUCAUCUUGAUUUAAAUGUUCUCGUUGCCAUAAAUGAUAAACAGCAUGCAGGUAUGUUAGUUCUAUCCUCAUCUUGAUUUAAAUGUUCUCGUUGCCAUAAAUGAUAAACAGCAUGCAGGUAUGUUAGUUCUAUCCUCAUCUUGAUUUAAAUGUUCUCGUUGCCAUAAAUGAUAAACAGCAUGCAGGUAUGUUAGUUCUAUCCUCAUCUUGAUUUAAAUGUUCUCGUUGCCAUAAAUGAUAAACAGCAUGCAGGUAUGUUAGUUCUAUCCUCAUCUUGAUUUAAAUGUUCUCGUUGCCAUAAAUGAUAAACAGCAUGCAGGUAUGUUAGUUCUAUCCUCAUCUUGAUUUAAAUGUUCUCGUUGCCAUAAAUGAUAAACAGCAUGCAGGUAUGUUAGUUCUAUCCUCAUCUUGAUUUAAAUGUUCUCGUUGCCAUAAAUGAUAAACAGCAUGCAGGUAUGUUAGUUCUAUCCUCAUCUUGAUUUAAAUGUUCUCGUUGCCAUAAAUGAUAAACAGCAUGCAGGUAUGUUAGUUCUAUCCUCAUCUUGAUUUAAAUGUUCUCGUUGCCAUAAAUGAUAAACAGCAUGCAGGUAUGUUAGUUCUAUCCUCAUCUUGAUUUAAAUGUUCUCGUUGCCAUAAAUGAUAAACAGCAUGCAGGUAUGUUAGUUCUAUCCUCAUCUUGAUUUAAAUGUUCUCGUUACCAUAAAUGAUAAACAGCAUGCAGGUAUGUUAGUUCUAUCCUCAUCUUGAUAUAAAUGUUCUCGUUGCCAUAAAUAAUAAACAGCAUGCAGGUAUGUU
Molecule: long non-coding RNA, 1944 nt
Organism: Oncorhynchus keta (chum salmon)
Lineage: Eukaryota; Metazoa; Chordata; Actinopteri; Salmoniformes; Salmonidae
Exons: 6
Source: RefSeq, a predicted model, not a curated record